CAGCCCCUGUCGUCUUCUCCUUUCUCUCCUUCACCAUUUUUGGUUACAAAACACCUUCCUUUAGCCGUGGACAGCCUCGGUCUACCCCAUUUUCAUACACAAGUUGUCUACACGUCUGUUUACCUGAGCUCUGUCGUUCACAGAGAAAAGUUUUUCCCCUUUUUGCUUCAAGACGGGUUGAUCCUAAAAGACCAUAAAUGGUCAACCCAUUUACAGAUAAAAUCCCAGGUCAGCCACGUGAAAUCUGCUGGAAAACGCCUUCAAUAUUCAAAUUCAAACGGGUCUAUUUUGGACUCGUUUUUGAAACCCUAGAUGUAAAAGUCCCGCCCAAUUUCGAACCUAGAAAACCCUACAAAUCAUCCUAUAAAUACAUCGUGAAAUCUGGGGAGAAAGGAGUUCUUUCAGCCGCCUUAACCCCUCCUAAAUAUUUACACUUUUUCAGUCACUAUAUCUGGGAAUUAAGUUUAUUUUUACCUAGUCUCGUCUGAUUAAGAAAUCGAUUUUAGGUAGAGUUUUCGUUGAGUCUGUUCUGAUUCCACUCGUUUUAAAUUUUCAUUUGUUCCGUUGUGUUCGGGUGUGUUGAGGGCUGUACUCGAAGAGAUUCGAGCGUCGUUCGCGUUCGAGCGUUGAUCCGAGACCCAAGGCCCCAGUUCAUUGCACACGAGGAAGCAGGUGUUUGCUAUACUUGGCUGGACCGAUUCUUUAUUUUGUUGCCUAUUUUGAGGAGAGAUGUUGCUUGUGCUUAUACUCACUGUUGGAAUGUAUAAUAUUCCAGUAAACCUUUAUAUAAAUUUAGUUCAUUUUAUACUUUAUUUGCUGAUUAGAAAUGGACUGAUUAAUUUAAUUUUUCUUUUCUUUUCUUUUGCAUGACACACCGGAGUCGAAGAGUCUUACUUUAAGACUCGACGUCACCUCGCAAAGGCUUGAAAUGCGUAUCCACAUCCUCCUUUAUAUAUCUCGCUCUUCCUUGAAACUCGUCCGAACAGAACUGAAGAUCUGAGAAGGGAAAUGAUAAACAUUUGGCUGUGUUUUUCCUUUAGUUAUCUGUCCAUAAUAUUAUGCCUGCUAACCCUUGAGUUGCUGCCGUAGAUACUGGUUUGGUAAAUUUCUUUUUUUGUUCGUGAUCGGCUUGGAGUUGAAACAUUUUUGAAGUCAAGUUCUUUAAUUCAGGCAACUAGGAAAAUAUUUAGUUAUUAGUUAA
Lycium barbarum (goji berry) is the source of this 1201-nucleotide long non-coding RNA. RefSeq lists it as uncharacterized. NCBI's taxonomy places the organism in Eukaryota, Viridiplantae, Streptophyta, Magnoliopsida, Solanales, Solanaceae. The transcript has 2 exons. The record is from RefSeq and is a predicted model, not a curated record.